CUGAAAUCUGGCAAGCGUUAGUCAUCUCCAGCUCAGCACGGACCCACAAGUGUGCGUGUGUAGCUCUGCGGGCUUCAGCUGGGGCCCGCCCCGCCCUCGGGCGCGCACUGCCACCCCGAGACCAGACGCGGCCUUGGCGUGGCUUCUGUGGAGCCGCUGACUCCGGGUGGCUCAGCACCCUCGGCUAAAAGGGGACGGACCAGCCAGGCUGCGCCACACAAGGAAGAAAGUUGUGGAGCCAGAAGAGGGGGGGUCUCCACUCCAAGUUUGUGCCGUGUCGCCGCGUCCCGGGGCGCCGACCGCGCACAGCAGCGGAGGGACUUCAGUCCUCCUGGAGGAACGGGAUUCCCGGUGCGGGUGCCAGACCGGCGCUAGAGGCUCUGCCCCAGGCCGGGGAGGAACUUGUCCUGCGAGCUGUCGCCGUGGGCCUUCAUUGUUUGCAGGAACUCUCCGGAAUCCGGAGGGGAAGGACUGGAUCGCGCUUCCACUGGGAUUCGCCAAGAGUUCCGGCGGCAGCUGUGGCGGUGGCGAGCCUCCCUUUGUCCUUUCAGGACCUCCCUCUCUCCUUUCUCCCUCUCUCUGUCAGUUAAUGGGGUCCCGCUGACGCAGGCGCCUGCGCCCCAGCUGCUCUCAGUCCCCCACGACCCACCCCAGGGUGAGUCCCUGGAGACUCUUUGGCGUCCCCGGCCCAGCAGAACAAGGGGGCUGCGAGUGCGAGGGAGUCACAGGCCCCUGGCCACAGGAUGGUGGCGGGCCGGCCCCUGGCCCGCCGCCCCGGGAGCGGGCUGUUACCCGGACUGUGGUUGUUGGCGCUCAGUGGCCUUGGGGGACUGCUGCACGCCCAGGAACAGCCCUCCUGCAGAAGAGCCUUUGAUCUCUACUUCGUCCUGGACAAGUCAGGGAGUGUGGCAAAUAAUUGGAUUGAAAUCUACAAUUUUGUCCAGCAACUUACGGAGAGAUUUGUGAGCCCUGAAAUGAGAUUAUCUUUCAUUGUGUUUUCUUCUCAAGCAACCAUUAUUUUGCCAUUAACUGGAGACCGAGGCAAAAUCAGUAAAGGCUUGGAGGAUUUAAAAAGUGUUACGCCAGCAGGAGAGACAUACAUCCAUGAAGGACUAAAGCUAGCAAAUGAACAAAUUCAGAAAGCAGGAGGCUCCAAAACCUCCAGUAUCAUAAUUGCUCUGACAGAUGGUAAGUUGGACGGUCUGGUACCAUCAUAUGCAGAGAAAGAGGCAAAGAAUUCCAGGUCACUUGGAGCUAAUGUUUAUUGUGUUGGUGUCCUUGAUUUUGAACAAGCUCAGCUGGAAAGAAUUGCAGAUUCCAAGGAACAAGUUUUCCCUGUCAAAGGUGGAUUUCAAGCUCUUAAAGGAAUAAUUAAUUCUAUACUAGCUCAAUCAUGUACUGAAAUCCUGGAAUUGAGACCCUCAAGUGUCUGUGUUGGGGAGGAAUUUCAAGUCGUUGUGAGUGGAAGAGGCUUCAUGUUGGGCAGUCGGAAUGGCAAUGUCCUCUGUGUUUUCACUGUAAAUGACACCUACACAAAGAGUGAAAAUGCAGUAAAUGUACAGCUUAAUUCUAUGCUUUGUCCUGCACCUGUCCUGAGUAAAGCUGGAGAAACUCUCGAUGUUUCAGUGAGCUUUAAUGGAGGAAAAUCUGUCAUUUCAAGCUCAUUAAUCAUCACCGCCACAGAAUGUUCCAACGGGAUUGCAGCCCUCAUUGCAAUUUUGGUGUUAUUGUUGCUCUUGGGCAUCGGUUUGAUGUGGUGGUUUUGGCCUCUUUGCUGCAAGGUGGUUAUCAAGGAUCCUCCUCCACCACCACCUCCUGUACCAAAAGAGGAGGAAGAAGAACCUCAACCCACCAAGAAAUGGCCAACUGUGGAUGCUUCCUAUUAUGGUGGUCGAGGGGUUGGAGGAAUUAAAAGAAUGGAGGUUCGCUGGGGUGAUAAAGGAUCUACUGAGGAAGGAGCAAGGCUAGAGAAAGCCAAAAAUGCCGUGGUGAUAGUUCCCGAAGAAGAAGAGGAACCCAUCAGGCCCAAGCCACCUCGACCCAAACCCACAUACCAGCCUUCUCAGACCAAGUGGUACACACCAAUUAAGGGUCGUCUGGAUGCGCUCUGGGCCCUGCUGUGCAGGCAGUAUGACCGGGUAUCCUUGAUGCGGCCUCAGGAAGGAGACGAGGGCCGAUGCAUAAACUUCUCUCGAGUUCCACAUCAGUAAAAGGAAAGCAAGAAGAACAAGAAGGUACCAAGAUGGCACAUUUUCACAAUGCUGAUUUCAACCAAAUGAAAAAAGUCAAGUACAUUUCAGAAACUGUUUGAAGAGCAUCUUAAUUCUUCUCUGUCAGGACACAUUUCCUCUGCCUUCUGCUUUCCUUGCACCAGACAUUUUCAAACACUUGGUCUACCAUCUUUAUGAGAGGUGCUGAAACUCAGUGGUAGCUAACAAUUCAUGACAUUGAAAAUAAAGAGAAAUGUUCAUCUGCAUACUACCUACAGUUUCUACAAGAAAGGUAGUUCAAAUGUUUAGAAGAGGAAACAGCAGUUAUGACAACCAUGUAAAAGAUAACAAAACUGGGACCACAAAACAACUAGCCAUAUUGGAUUUUUAAUGGAGAUAGGAGUUUUUAACAUGGAAACAUGGCACCAAUGUUUUUGUAUGACAAGAUCCCUCGCCAUAGACUGAGUAUGAAAUUUCCCACCAGGCUAAGCAAAUAAUGGAGUCCAUUAUAGCUAUGUCAGAUCAUAAAAUCCUUCCAAGUCCCACAUCAAAGUGUGCCUUACGGGAAGUUUCUGACUAGAAAAUCUUGUCAUUCUACCACUGGAAAGUGCACACGCAUGACAAAAUGUAGACAAGAUGCCUCAAGGUAUUGGUACCAGGCGAGAUUUUGCCCUUUAGUUUUUGAAGACACCUUUCUUUCAUUAUGCACUUGGGACAAGAAAAUUAAUAGAGCGUUAUUCCAAAGGAAGACAGCCUCUAACCAAAGAUCCACAGUGGAGAACUCACGAUAAAAAUCACCCUCGUGUCACGUCUACGAUGCCAAAUUAUGUUAGCGUGAGCAGAAACACUGUGGGGGAGGAAGAAGGCAGCAGCUGAAGAAAACAGCUCAAAUGAUCUAGUCACUUUCGAUACUGUACUUCAGAUGCGAAAUGGAUAUUCGACUCGAAACCUGACAAAGCGUGCCUGCUUUGAUGUGAACUGGUAUAGACAAUGACCAGUGGCCGGGUCAGUGGGAUGUCUCUCUGGGAGCACAAAGGCUUAUCAAAUGACACUAAAAAUAAGUUCAACAACCAUCACGUUGGAAGGGAGAAAGAGAACACUUCAUGUUUGGCGGGCAUGCAAGUGCACAAGAUGGAAAGAGCAAGUUGGAGCAUCCUGGUAUAAUUACCCCCAUUGUGCUUUAAGUGGAAAUUUCAAACGACGGGGGUGAUGCUGUUGGUUGGUGUCCAGGUUUAUGGUACUGCUCCAAGAAGCCUUACGCACAAAAAUAAAUAUAUACACCCACUCAUAUACAUAUAUUCUUUAGCUUGAAUCUUUUGCUCAAGUUUAUUUAUGUCACUGGCUGGCUGGAUCCAAAGUCAUGUGUCCACAUACUCAUAAAUAAAAAUUUUACCUGUGCCUUUGUUAUUUUCUUUAAGCCCUCAUAAACCUCAUACCUUCUUUGGUCAGUAUACAGUUGUCCUGGUUAUUUUCAAGGAUAAAAUUCUAAUCAGUUCCAAAAUACCCAGCAUGUUUGCAUAUGAUACUAUUGGAAGAAAUCUAUGUGUGCAAGUACAACAUGGAAGCCAGAUAGAGUACACCUGACCCUUUCUUCAAUGAGUUCUUGUAGACAUCUGUUCUGUAUUUGCAUCUGGAGUAAGAUCUAUUGCUACUUUCUUAAAUGGGUACUUCAUUUCUGAUCAAUGCACACCCAUUGAUGAUAUUUUAAGAGAAUCAAGGAUGCCAUAGAAGCUAUGACUAUGUUUAUUUGAUAGUUACUUUAAAUUUCUCCAGAGUCAUAUACCACAUUUGUAUUUUGCUACAUGAGCAAUAUAAAUAAAAGCUCUGCCUUUAAAUGGCCAAAUAGCUUUCCAGAGAUUUGUAAUGCAAAUACUAUGAAGAGCUCUCAAUGAAGAGGGAUGGGCAUUUGUUUAUAUGUAGACUGAAAAAAAAACCACCAUUAAUAAAGUUCAAAGACAGAUGGAAUUUCAUUGCCCUUGAAAAUAUGAACCAGAUCUAUGCUAUGCUUUUGACUGAUGAGUCUAACCAGCAAAUGAGAAGAAUUUAUUUUAGUGUCAUUUCCUAACCAGAGGACAUGAUCAAAACUGUCUGUAUCUUUCAACCAGGAAAACAGUUUGGAAUAAAGCCUUUUAAUAAACUUCAUGGCAUCUUAUAUAUAAAUGAGAAAAAUAGCUCCUAUGUAAUUUUCUGGACAUGAUAUUAAUCAAGAUCUCUCUCUGUGUAAAUGAAUAAGUCUUAUCCAUCACCCAUUUGUGUUGCAUAAGGUUGAAAAAACAAUUAAGUGGGAAAUGACUCCUAACUUAUGUGUCUGCUCUGCCUAGAAAGAAAUUUUUGAAGGCAUCUAUAUAUAUUUCAUAACAAUGUCUGUUCUUUAUGGAUUUGAUCCAUAAAUAUUUAUCUAUCUGAAAACUUUGAUACUUGGAAUGUUUUCCUUAAAGCAUUUGGUACUCCAAGAAAAAACAUUUGGUGCUAUUCCUUUCCCCAAGUUAAUUCUAUUUUAAAAUUUUAUAUUUUCUUCCCAAUGAGAUGCAGAGUAAAAUUUGAGAGUCUCCAUUGACUAGGGAGCAGCAUCUGUCAUCUAUGGUUAAUUGCUAUUUUGACAAAAAUAUAUAAGGUUUAAAAUCCCCUAUAUUUCAAAUUGUUAGAGAAAGAGCCAUUUGCUUAUAGUUCCCUUGAUCUUUAUUC
Molecule: non-coding RNA, 4895 nt
Organism: Castor canadensis (American beaver)
Lineage: Eukaryota; Metazoa; Chordata; Mammalia; Rodentia; Castoridae
Source: RefSeq, a predicted model, not a curated record